GGGCCCCCGGAGAAAGGACUCCUGCCAGCCGCCUCUUCUCCACCUGGGGUGGAGCGUCUGUGGCGUGGCCUUGGUCCGCCGAGACUGUGGACGGUCUGGCUAUGCUGUCCCCUGCUGAACCUCUUCCUGGGAGGGGCCUCAGGGGUUCUUGCUCACUCCCAGGACCUGUUCACGCGUGUCCACAAUUUGGUCCCCCUUGUGCCUGAAAACCUUCCAGGAGGACGCUCGCCUUCCACUGUCCACAGCCCCCAGAUGUAGAAACUGAAACCCAGCUUGGGGACCGCCUUCCUGAGGACACAACGCUGGGUAAGGCUGGGCUUGGCCCUGCUGGGGAAAAGGGGUCAGGGUGGGAUCUGGGGAGCAGGAAGCUGUCCACUGUAGGAAGAGGGGAGGGGAAGACCCAGAGAAAGCCCCGGCUCCUGGCCGCUCCCCAGCCCAGCCCAGCCUCAGCCCCAGGCGGGUCCAAGGUAAGUCAAGGGCUCCGAAGUAAGCUUCCAACGGGAAGGGGUGAGAGCCGAGGGCUGUCUUCACAGCUGGAGGGGUCUGAGUCCCAAGCCAGGGAAAGAACUCUGGGUCAGCUGACCCUGGUGGGUGUGGAGCAGGCCCCGGAGGACACUACCAGCAGGCCGCCGGGCAGCUGGGAGUGUUCCAGGUGGCUUCCAAGGACCCGUGACGCUCCCCACGUUCACCCACUGCCCUCCGUGUGGGAGCGCACUGGGGGUAGAAGUCCUCAGCACAAGCAGAACGGCCACUGUCCUGCAGGGAGACAUUCCCCUCUCUGUUCCAGAAGAGUGUGUGAUGUCACGCCAGCCUCAGGGGAGGGUGCCGGCAGUCUUGCCCGGGCCACCAGCAACAGUGGCUCUCGAGGAAGGACCCGGAAGUUGGCCCGCAAAGCUGGCCCCAACCCACUCUGAUCUGUGGUCCCCUCCAUGGUUGCAGGAAGAGUGGUCUCUUUUGUCUUGGCUUACGAUCGUCCAGUCGGGCUGGACGUGGUGCCACACGCCUGUAACCCCAGCUACCUGGGAGGCUGAGGAAGGAGAAUCACUUGAACCCAGGAGACGGAGGUUGCAGUGAGCCAAGAUCACGCCAUUGCACUGCAGCCUGGGUGACAGAACAAGACUACGUCUCAAAAAAAGAAAAAAGAAAGAAAAAAAAGAAAAUAGUUCUGCUGUGAAAAUGACUGUUUGCAUUACCAAGAAGAGAUUUCAAAGUUAUCUUAAAAUGUUCCUGUUCCCAAGAAGCAGUAUAUAGUAAUAAAGACAUAUAUUCACCAAGAAUAACAUGUCCAGAAAGACAAGUUCUUAAAAACAGAAUGAGUGACAGUGGGCACACCAUGAGACUUAGUCACCUCCAAGAAGGACCUGGGUAGGAAAGGAGGGGCUGGGAGGGAAACUGCACCCCUUCAUUCCCACCCCACCCCAGCAAUUCCAGGCACAAACAGUUGAGCUCUGAGACAGAUGAAAGCUUUUCAGUUCUCAGAAGUCCAAAGGGCUGACCCACUUUGCCGGUUUGCAUGGUUUGCCUGGAGUGGCAUUAAGGCCGGCUUCUUUACAGUGUGUCUGAAAUACAAU
RNAcentral lists this long non-coding RNA (1571 nucleotides) under Homo sapiens (human). RNAcentral's name for it is "HSALNT0177405". Lineage: Eukaryota; Metazoa; Chordata; Mammalia; Primates; Hominidae. The record is from RNAcentral.